UACCCUGGUAGUCCACGCUGUAAACGAUGUCGAUUUGGAGGUUGUGCCCUUGAGGCGUGGCUUCCGGAGCUAACGCGUUAAAUCGACCGCCUGGGGAGUACGGCCGCAAGGUUAAAACUCAAAUGAAUUGACGGGGGCCCGCACAAGCGGUGGAGCAUGUGGUUUAAUUCGAUGCAACGCGAAGAACCUUACCUGGUCUUGACAUCCACAGAAGUUUCCAGAGAUGGGAACGUGCCUUCGGGAACUGUGAGACAGGUGCUGCAUGGCUGUCGUCAGCUCGUGUUGUGAAAUGUUGGGUUAAGUCCCGCAACGAGCGCAACCCUUAUCCUU
RNAcentral lists this ribosomal RNA (330 nucleotides) under Enterobacter sp. 120(2013). RNAcentral's name for it is "bacterial SSU rRNA". It matches the Rfam family "Bacterial small subunit ribosomal RNA", at positions 783 to 1112 of the family's 1533-position model. The record is from RNAcentral. Lineage: Bacteria; Pseudomonadati; Pseudomonadota; Gammaproteobacteria; Enterobacterales; Enterobacteriaceae.